AGGAUCUUGUACACUCCCAUUCUCUCCAGAUAGUUCCAGGCAUUUAUGAUGGUUUUUUUGUUUUGUAGUGGGAAAUCCUCUAUGCUUCCACGAGCCUGAUGCCACAGAGGAGGAUAGGCAUCCUUUUUGCCGACAUCAUCUUGGGUUAGUGCUACUACAGUUGCUGGACUGAGAACAACGGUGGUCAACAGCACAAGGAGAAGAAAGUGCUGCCCCAAGAACGCACCCAUCUUACAGAGAGCAAUGCUCACCCAAAGUCCUUCCAGCAUUUUACAACCAGACUUGGCUGUGAUCUUCCAUUCAUGAGACAAUUCAUAUUGUCAGCUUGCUUCUUCAGU
Pelodiscus sinensis (Chinese soft-shelled turtle) is the source of this 338-nucleotide non-coding RNA. The record is from RefSeq and is a predicted model, not a curated record. Lineage: Eukaryota; Metazoa; Chordata; Testudines; Trionychidae.